This 440-nucleotide ribosomal RNA is filed under the name uncultured bacterium. Its description in RNAcentral is "partial 16S ribosomal RNA". It matches the Rfam family "Bacterial small subunit ribosomal RNA", at positions 338 to 795 of the family's 1533-position model. The record is from RNAcentral.
CCUACGGGAGGCAGCAGUGGGGAAUAUUGCACAAUGGGGGGAACCCUGAUGCAGCAACGCCGCGUGGGUGAAGAAGUACUCCGGUAUGUAAAGCUCUGUCAGCAGGGAAGAAAAUGACGGUACCUGACCAAGAAGCCCCGGCUAACUACGUGCCAGAAGCCGCGGGAAUACGUAGGGGGCAAGCGCUAUCCGGAUUUUCUGGGUGUAUAGAGAGCGUAGACGGGGUGACAAGUCUGGAGUGAAAGGCCGUGGCUCAACCGCGGGACUGGUGUUGACACUGUGUUGCUGGUGUGCGGGAGAGGCAGACGGUAUUCCGAGGGGAGCGGUGGAAUGCGUAGAUAUUAGGAGGGACAGCAGUGGCGAAGGCGGCCUGCUGGACAGCAACUGACGGUGAGGCGCGAAAGCGUGGGGAGCAAACAGGAUUAGAUACCCGUGUAGUC